This 477-nucleotide ribosomal RNA is filed under the name uncultured organism. RNAcentral describes it as "partial 16S ribosomal RNA". It matches the Rfam family "Bacterial small subunit ribosomal RNA", at positions 331 to 799 of the family's 1533-position model. The record is from RNAcentral.
GUACACUCCUGCGGGAGGCAGCAGUGGGGAAUAUUGCACAAUGGGCGCAAGCCUGAUGCAGCCAUGCCGCGUGUAUGAAGAAGGCCUUCGGGUUGUAAAGUACUUUCAGCGGGGAGGAAGGCGAUAAGGUUAAUAACCUUGUCGAUUGACGUUACCCGCAGAAGAAGCACCGGCUAACUCCGUGCCAGCAGCCGCGGUAAUACGGAGGGUGCAAGCGUUAAUCGGAAUUACUGGGCGUAAAGCGCACGCAGGCGGUCUGUCAAGUCGGAUGUGAAAUCCCCGGGCUCAACCUGGGAACUGCAUUCGAAACUGGCAGGCUAGAGUCUUGUAGAGGGGGGUAGAAUUCCAGGUGUAGCGGUGAAAUGCGUAGAGAUCUGGAGGAAUACCGGUGGCGAAGGCGGCCCCCUGGACAAAGACUGACGCUCAGGUGCGAAAGCGUGGGGAGCAAACAGGAUUAGAUACCCGUGUAGUCCCAUG